RNAcentral lists this ribosomal RNA (253 nucleotides) under uncultured bacterium. Its description in RNAcentral is "partial 16S ribosomal RNA". It matches the Rfam family "Bacterial small subunit ribosomal RNA", at positions 524 to 776 of the family's 1533-position model. The record is from RNAcentral.
UACGUAGGGGGCUAGCGUUGUCCGGAAUCAUUGGGCGUAAAGAGCGUGUAGGCGGCUUGGUAAGUCCGCUGUGAAAGUCCAGGGCUCAACCCUGGAAUGCCAGUGGAUACUGUCAAGCUAGAGUCCGGAAGAGGCGAGUGGAAUUCCUGGUGUAGCGGUGAAAUGCGCAGAUAUCAGGAGGAACACCAAUGGCGAAGGCAGCUCGCUGGGACGGUACUGACGCUGAGACGCGAAAGCAUGGGGAGCGAACAGG